AACGAACGCUGGCGGCAGGCUUAACACAUGCAAGUCGAACGGCUGUAGCAAUACAGCAGUGGCAGACGGGUGAGUAACACGUGGGAACCUUCCUAGGGGUACGGAACAACUCAGGGAAACUUGAGCUAAUACCGUAUACGUCCGUAAGGAGAAAGAUUCAUCGCCCCUAGACGGGCCCGCGUCGGAUUAGGUAGUUGGUGGGGUAACGGCCUACCAAGCCUGCGAUCCGUAGCUGAUCUGAGAGGAUGAUCAGCCACACUGGGACUGAGACACGGCCCAGACUCCUACGGGAGGCAGCAGGUGGGGAAUCUUGGACAAUGGGCGCGAAGCCUGAUCCAGCCAUGCCGCGUGAGUGAAGAA
This 360-nucleotide ribosomal RNA is filed under the name uncultured bacterium. Its description in RNAcentral is "bacterial SSU rRNA". It matches the Rfam family "Bacterial small subunit ribosomal RNA", at positions 29 to 412 of the family's 1533-position model. The record is from RNAcentral.